RNAcentral lists this ribosomal RNA (468 nucleotides) under uncultured bacterium. RNAcentral describes it as "partial 16S ribosomal RNA". It matches the Rfam family "Bacterial small subunit ribosomal RNA", at positions 28 to 507 of the family's 1533-position model. The record is from RNAcentral.
GACGAACGCUGGCGGCGUGCUUAACCCAUGCAAGUCGAACGGAAAGGCCCUGCUUUUGUGGGGUGCUCGAGUGGCGAACGGGUGAGUAACACGUGAGUAACCUGCCUUUCACUUUGGGAUAAAUCCAGGAAACUGGGGCUAAUACCGGAUAGGAGCUCCUGCUGCAUGGUGGGGGCUGGAAAGUUUCGGCGGUUGGGGUUGGACUCGCGGCUUAUCAGCUUGUUGGUGGGGUAGUGGCUUACCAAGCCUUUGACGGGUAGCCGGCCUGGGAGGGUGACCGGCCACAUUGGGACUGCGAUACGGCCCAGACUCCUACGGGAGGCAGCAGUGGUGAAUAUUGCACGAUGGGCGGAAGCCUGAUGCAGCAACGCCGCGUGCGGGAUGACGGCCUUCGGGUUGUAAACCGCUUUCGCCUGUGACGAAGCGUGAGUGACGGUAAUGGGUAAAGAAGCACCGGCUAACUACGUG